Molecule: long non-coding RNA, 21071 nt
Filed under: Phaseolus vulgaris (common bean)
Lineage: Eukaryota; Viridiplantae; Streptophyta; Magnoliopsida; Fabales; Fabaceae
Description: long non-coding RNA (PVUL_LNC001905)
Source: RNAcentral
UGGAGGAGCUCCAUCUGGAAGAGGCGGAGGCGCUCCGACGCUCCAUCCAAGGCUUCUAGAUGCUUCGUCUCGCCCUCAUCGUCUGUUAGAAAAAGUUGUGUUGUGCUGUGUAAGUAUUGAGAUCAAAUGAAUGAAUAAUGAGAGUGUGGAUUGUAUUAACUGAGAUUUUGGACGGUGGCGUGAACGGUGUAGCCGCGGUCCAGAAGGAGGUGGACGAGCCAUGAACCGAUGGCGCCGCUGCCGCCGGUGACACACACCACCUUCUCCAUUUGGCAACUGUAUUCUAUCAACCUCCAGUUUUGUACUGUUCCAGUGUAAUCUGCUGAGGCAAAAAAUAAUUAUAAUUUGAAGUCAUAUCUGUACAAAAAAAUAUAUAUGAGUGGUGCAUAAUGAAUCUCAACACUCACAAAAAUCUCAUUAAAUUUUAUUAUUAUUAUAUUAUCAUCUUACAUGCACCAUAUCAGCAAAACCACAAAUUGCAUCACAUUUUGCAACAGAUGCAGGAAUUGAACCAGAAAUCAGAUGAUAGCAUAUACAAUGUUGUGAUGAAAAUUGGCAUGCUUAUUAUUAUUCAUUAAGCAAUAAUAUAUUAUAGAAGUAUUUUAAUCACUGGAUAUUGUUCUACUAGAUGUAAGAAACAGGUCAGUGACUUCUGUUGUUGAAAAAGUAGUAUAAUAGUUAUAAUAUAAUGUGAUUAAAAACCAUUUUUAUUGUUUUAAUAUACUGCUAAUACUACUAUAAUUAAUGUUAUAUUAAACGUUCAUAAUAUUAUUGUUACAACGUAAACCCACCCUUUAAUUGCAAUUUGUACUAUAUUAAAAUAUGAUGUCAACAUAUAUGUUAUUAUAUUAUUAAUGUUAUUAUCCUUUGGAUUUUUGUGUAUGUUUUUAUUUGGAUUUUCGUUUAUUCAAAAUUUUCAAGUAAAACAUUUAUUCAUUUGAGUGGAUUUUUUUAAAGGACUCAACUACGACCUGCUUCACGUGACAGAUGUUACACCUUAAGUACAUUACACCUUUAGCUCUCACAGUAUUCAAUUAACGCUUGAUUUAGCUUUCUGCAGUGUCUUUAUUCCUUAUCUUUCCUUUUGUCAUCAUUUUUAAUGUGCUUCUCUUACACUCUACUUCAUAAAGUUUAUAACCUACAACUUGCUUAAGCAACUUUCUUCUUACAUGGUUGUGCUCACACUUUACCUCAUUUGUCCUUCAUCGCAUCAGAAGUUCAGAUUGUUCACUUAUUUUUGUAAGACGUUAUUCAAAUUUUUGUUUCAAACUCUUGCAAUUUAAAUCGAUUGUUUUAUCCAAUGUUUUUUUUUUAUGGUUGUCUGUCCUUUUCAUAUCUUAUUUUCAACAAAAUGGCUUAUGAAGAACUUCUCCAUAUGUUGUUUGUUUUCACUUAUGGUUAUUGUUCUUUGUCUGCAUUCUAAUUUUUAAGUUUAAUUUUUAGUUAUCUUUAUAUUGGCAUUUCGGAUUAAAUGCAUCUUCAAUUAUUUUUGUAUGAUUUUUUUCCAUUGCUUACUUACUCUGUUUUCUAUUAAAAUUAAAACUUAUUACUUCUUUCAUGGUGGAUUUCAAGCUUUUGUGCUAAAGAAAUGACCUUUACAACUACAACAUCAGCUGUUUUCUAAAUACUUUUUGUUCUCGUUGUUUUUUUAAAAAAAUAUAAUACUAUUUAGGCAUGUAUUGUGCUCCGCUAGAUUUUAUUUAUGUGUUGUCUCAUAAAAGUCUUUCAUUUCACAGUAAAAUGUAUAGUGCAACUUAAAGAGAAAACCACUAUUUCGUUAUGUGUUCUUUUUCAUUAUAUUUUUCUCAAUUUUAUUCUAGUUGUUUUGUUUAACCUAUAUAUGCUUAUGUUGUUUUUAUGUUUUUCUUUUUUUUGUCAUAAGAUUUUGUAUUUAUGAACCUCUUAUUCAGAUUGUGUAACAUUUGAAUCUGGUUUGUUGCACACACUAACAUUGGCAGCUAAAACAAAGUUUUAUUGUUAGUUUAUAUUUACGAAUGUAUGUGUUCUUCUAUUUAUUUAUGUCCUUUCUUAUUUGACCUAUGUCUUUGACUAAUUGAUCAACACACCAAAUCUUCGCAACUACAAAAAUCUUUUAGUAUGCAAGAAUACAAUGUUGUUCCUUCUUCUUCACAAGUUUUAACAAAUUUGGUUUGCUUAUUUUGUUUUUAUGUAUUUUUGCUUUUUUUUUUAUAUGAUUAUGUAAUUAUGAACCUCUUAUGUUGUUGGAUGUCCAGAUUGUGUAACAUUUUAAUCUAAUUUGUUGCACACAAUUAGAUUGGCAGCUAAAGCAAAAUUUUAAUGUUAGUUUAUAUUUACGGAUUUCUGUGUUAUUCUAUUUAUUUAUGUCCUGUUUAUUUAACCUCUGGCUUUGAAGGAUUCAUCAACACACCAAAUAUUGGCAACUCCGUCAAGGAGAUACAUCCUAGAUUUUUUUUUUCUUCUUGUUUUCCAUGCUUGUAAUGCCCAACAUGAGUAUCUAAUUCUACCCUUUGAGAUUUGAGAUUUUCUCUUUAGUUGUUCCUCUACUCUAACACAAAGUUGAACUAAAUCAUUUAAAUCAUUAUAAGGAAAAAGUUCAACUUUAUCCUUAAUUUCAUAAUUAAGACCACUUUGGAAUCGAGCCCUAAUCCGUGCCCUUAACAUAAAUAACUCAAUUAUCUGCUUCUAUUGUUCUACAAUCAUGUUUAUAUGCGUUAACUUAUUGAGUUGUUUCAUCAACUCUCUAUCAUAUUAGGAAGGCUCAUACCUCUUCCUAAGAGCUGAUCUAAACUCAUUCCAAUACCUUAUUUAGGGAAAAUUAUGCAACCUAAGAUCUUUUGUAUAGGUGGUCCACCAAGUCAUGGUUGAAUCUUGAAAACUAAGGGUAGCUAAGGUAUCCCUCCUCUCAUGAUUUAUUUGGUGAGCCGAAAAAAAUUUCAACCUUCAUCUCCAAGGUUACGUAAUCUUCUAUAUUUGAUGAAAAAUGAAAAUAAGGAAGGUCAAUCUUAGGCUCUUUAGGCACAUGAUGGGCUCGAUGUCUAUGUUGUCUAGCAUUUUAUUGGUAGUAGUAUGUAUUGUGAUACCUACUAUAAUCAUAUUGGCUUUGGUAAGGGAUUGUAUGAUGAUUGCUUAUAUGUUUGUGAGAUCCCUCUCUUAGGAAAUCACAAAUUUAGAAAUUAUUUCUUUCAAUUCUGAAAAAUUCAUUUGCUUGUUUUGUUACUCUUUCAUAGACAUUAAAAGAAUCUUGAGUGUUUUGAUUACCAUGAACACUAGAUUGAUGUGAAGGAUCACCCAUUGUUGAAUUAAAAUAGAAAAAGUUUUCACAAAAAUUUACAAUUCAAUUGAGUGAUCAAAAUAUUUUUUGAAAAUAUUUUUUUAAUUUUUGGUGAAGUAAAUAGAUCAAGUAUGAGAGUUCUCCAAGUUCACUCCCACGAAAAGUGAGGUGAGUCACAAUGGACUACUUACAUACCAAGAGCUUAUCCCAAAUAAUUCUCAACAUAAGUUCCCUCAAAAUAAUUUUAGAAAUGAGAGUGGGUGUUUGAAUGUCGAAAUGAAACUAAAGAUCAAAGGAAGAUCUACUAAUAAGCAAAAAAAGAUAAAAAUCCUAUGUAUCACAGAUACUUAAAAGCAAGAAAAUAAAGGAAGGAAAUAAAGGAAGGAAAUAAAAGCAUGAAAUUAAAGCAAGAAAUUAAUGCUAGUGAAAAGUAAAUUAGCCGCAUCCUAAAGUUCAAGUGCAAUUGACACUAAGACUCCAGCAGCACACUUACACCACUAAUGCACAUGUAAUCUAAGAAUUUGAAGUAAAAUAAGUACAAAAGAAGAUGGACAACAAUAUAGAUAAAUAGUUAAGUGAAUCUCAAGAGAACAUUACAAAGAACUUACUUGAAAUGGACUUUAUUAAAAAUUUUAAUUUCAAGAAAUAUACUAAGUUAUGUUGGAGAUCCCACAUCGACUAGAGAUAAGGACAUUUCAUAAUAUAUAAAUGGGUGCAGACCUCAAUCUUAUGAGCCGGUUUUAUGGGGUUGAGUUAGCCUUAAAGUCCACUUCGCAAUAAGUUACUUUUAUACAUAUAGCUUAAUGAACAUAUCAAGGCAUAAGUAAGUAUAUUUGAUUAUUGUUAUAUAACAAAUUCAUUUGUAAUUCACAUUCCUAAAAGUAUUUACAAAAGAUUCGAAGUAAAGCAUGUCCUUAUCUCAAGAUGCACUACUUGUAAACAAAUAACCCAUCAUAUUCUACAUAUUCCUUUGACAAACUUGAUUACCCGAACUAGAAGUUGCUCAGUUGGAGAUCUCACAUCGACUAGGGAUUAGAGCCUUUUAUUGUAUAUAAAUGGAUGCAAACCUCAACCCUGUGAGCCGGUUUUAUGGGGUUGAGUUAGGCUUAAAGUCACAUCUCUAUCUUAGUGGAAAGUAUUGAAUAGAGUAUAAAUCAUAUACAUCUGUGUUAAAAUGAGUAUACAUCUAUAUUAAAAUGAGUGAUGUCAUUCAUACAUCUAAAGAAAUCAAUGUACAUUCUCAUUUCAUAAUAAAAAGAUAUGAAUGACAAUUACAACACAAAGACCCUACCUACCACGAGUUGGUCAUACUCUAAUCUACGCCCAUAAACUAUUUCCCGUGAGUUCUAGGCAUGGAGGCUUCUCAAUGUUUCAAGCUAUAAACAAAGACUGAGAAUUGUACACUCAAUCAUACAAUAAUAUAAAUAAAAACACAGGAAAAAUCAAUAUCCUCGCAUACAAUAACAUAAUCAAGAGGACAAAUUAUAAUAUACAUCAAAAAAUUAAUUUGGUGAAUUUAAAGACUCAACCAUACAUUCAAUCAAAUCAAAAUGUAUUUCACAAGUAUUAUUAUAGGAUAUGACAACCCAAACUAACAUCGUUUUCCUCCCUCAUCCAACGUCUACUUUCAUGACUUACUACUUAAAAGUACACCUUCAUUGAGAUUAUUUAAAAAAAAAACUUAAAUUGUUAUAUGAAGGUGCAUGGGGAAAAUAGAGAGUGGAGGAGAAUUUGCCAAACUAAUGCCCUUUUCUCUUUCCUUUUUUGUACGUAUGCAACACUUUAUAUUCUAAUUUUCAUGCACAUUUCAAUUCUUCACAAAUGACCUACAAACAAAUAGUGGUCCAUAUGCAUAAAACAAAAUGUAACUAGGGUUUCCAUUCGCAUGUAAACACCCCACGUUUUUCUUACUGUACCCAUAUAAAUUAUCCUUAUUAAUUUAUAAUAUUAUUAAUAAAUUGAAUUUUGAAAAAAUGAUUUUUCUCAUGAUUUAAAACUAAUUUGUUUAACAAUUUGAUACAUACAUUAUAUUAUAGUUAAUGAAAAUAAUAAUUAAUAACUAAAAUCUUAAUAACUAAUUAGAUACAAUUUAAAAAUUAUUUUAUAAUUUUUAUUAAUAAUAAAAACUAUUUAAAUACUAAUACUCAUUCAAUUAUAUCAAUUUCCUUCCAAAUCCUCCUCAUACAUAUAGUAAAGAAAUUGUUUUUCGUUUUCCAUGUUCUUUACACGUUUUCUAUUAAUUUCUUUGUGGACAAUAAGUUUAAGCAUUCCAUCUUCAUUUUGAAAAAAGAAACAAACAGGUGAGAGCUACUCAUACGCAAGUUCCUUUUUCAUACUAUUAGAGAAGUGUAGAUUAUGUCAUAGAAGAGCGUCUAAAGGUAACAGAGAUACAAAAAUGUGAAGACAACACAGAAACAUGACAGAAAUAGAGAUCCACCCAUGAACUAAAAUUAGGUAGAAAAUGUUUUACAAAGAUGUCUCUCGUCACUUGUUUUAGAACAAUGCAAACAUAACAACAACCACACCAACAAAUAUAACAGAUUAACAACAACAGGAAUUUGCACCAAACAUAUGUGCCAUAAGGACUCAUAUUGCAGCAGCAAUUAUGGAAGGAAUCCUUUUUUCUUCAAAUCCUCUACAGAAUCCUUAAUAAUCUCCUCAAUUGGAGUGAUUUGCAAACCCAAAUCCAUAAGUUUCUUUGAUCCAUCCUUCACUCUCAAUAAUCCUGGUUGGGUAUCUCGUUGCAUCCUUUCAAGCAAAAUCACAAAAUACAUCAUUCGCAACUAAGUUAUGCAUUAACAAUAGAUGUAUGAAGUGUGUGGGUAACUUACUUAGGCACAUUGUACUCUGGAUAAAGUUCACCAACUUUGGCCGCAAAAUCACCAAAGUGAGAGAUAGAUUCAACACACACAUGCCUACCAACUGCAGAUUUGUUCUCAUACACCAAAAUAUGUGCCAAUGUUACAUCCUUCAAGUGGACCGAUCCCAUAUAAAUGUCCUCGUAUGUUUCAUCAGAACCUGCGACGCGACAUACAAAUUUGUCUCAAAUUAUCAGUAAUUCCCCUAAAAAAAUCAUAACUUGGGGAGUUUGAUAUUAGUAUUCGAGUCAACAAUUAUACUGUGCAAAAUCUAAUGAAAAGAGUAUAGCACAAUCAAACAAGUCUAAUACUUUUCACGAAGGCAUCAAGUUCUAAAUAUCCUACACAGCUACACCAUCAACUACACUGUCGCAGGUCUUAGAAAACAUAUAAAAUAAUAAUAAAAUAAAAAUAUGAAUAAUAAAUUAAUAACAUAAUAAUAAUUAAAUAAUUAAAAUAAUAAUAAAUAAUAAACAAUAAUAAUGUUGGAGAUCUCACAUCGACUAAAGAUUAGAGUCUUUCAUUGUAUAUAAGUGGGUGCAAACCUUAAAUUUAUGAACUUGUGAGUCAUUUCAUUGUAUAUAAAUAAAUGAAAACCGAUUUUAUGGAGUUGACUUAGACUUAAAGUUUAUUUUGUAAUAAAUAAUAAAAAUAACUGAUAGUAAAAAUAUUAAAAUUAAAAUUAUAAACUAAUUAUAAUAUUAUAUUUUUUAUUUAAUUAAAUUAGUUUAUAAUAAUAUAAAUUAAUUAAUUAUUAUAUAUAUUAUUUUUAAAUUUUUUAAAAUUUAUUAUAUUUAUCAAAUUAGUAAUAAACUUAAUUCAAAAAACUUCAUUUUACUCAACUCCUCAAAUUCCCAGUAUCAAAUUUACUCUCCAUUUGAAAAAAACCCAACUUGAUACAAUGAGUUUAAAAAUAACUAUCUAAAAUAAAGAAUAAAUUUAUACUUAUAUAAUAUAAAAAAUAUAUAUUAAAAUAAUAAUAUUGAAAAUUGUAUAAAAAUACUGCAUUGUAUGAUUAUAUGAUUAACCCAAAAGAUAAAGCAUUCUCAAGCUUUUUGGGUAGUAGAAGAUUUCUUGAUACCAUAUUAUAAUAAUAUAAUAAUAUUUUAAAUUAAAAAUAAAUUAAAUAUAAUUAAAAUAUUAUUUUAAGGAUUUGUCAAGUGGAUUUUUUUAUUAUUGUAUGACCACCCAUUUUAGAACUUUUCCAGUUCACAUUUCCAAUAUUGAAGGAAACUCCUGCUGCAAAAAUAGAAAGAAAUAUUUGGAAAAUCCAACUGAUUAAGCAUUAGUGUCUCUACCUUGAAGAAGGCGCAAGAGCAUGAGCAUGCUUGCAUUAAGCCUGGGUGAAAUAAUCGGACCCAUCACAGUGCCAGGAUUCACUACAACAACAUCCAACCCACUCUCCUUUGCAAAUUCCCAAGCUGCUUUCUCCGCCAAAGUCUUCGACAAUGGAUACCACAACUGUUGCACACACAAACACUUCACACACCAACACAUAUAAGAAAAAGAAACAGAAAAUGAAAAAAAUGAAACCCUUUCUAACCCCUUUUUGCUUGCAAAAUUCAACGUCAGCCCAGCAGUCCUCCCUCUUUGGAACAUCACCGGGCCAACUGGGGCUCGGAAUAAUCGCCGAGACGGAGGACGUGACCACCACGCGACGCACUCCUGCUUCUUUCGCUGCCGUUAAUACGUUCACGGUACCCUUUAUCGCCGGGUCCAGAAGAUCCUUCUGCAUGAAGACUCAAAUGGGAUGAUGAAAAAACCCAAAAGAUUGAAAAUUUGUGAAGAGAUCGAGGAAACAAGACCUGGGGAUCCGAGACUUGAUCAACAAUGCAGGGAGAGGCGAGGUGGAAAACGCCGGCGCAGCCGCGCAUGGCAGCGAGUACGGAGUCAUAGUGGAGGAGCUCCAUCUGAAAGAGGCGGAGGCGCUCCGACGCUCCAUCCAAGUCUUGUAGAUGCUUUGUCUCGGCCUCAUCGUCUGUUAGAAAAGUUGUGUUGUGCUGUGUAAGUAUAUAUUGGGAUGAAACGAAUGAAUAAUAAAAGUUUGGAAUGUGCUAACUGAGAUUUUGGACGGUGGCGUGAACGGUGUAGCCGCGGUCCAGAAGGAGGUGCACGAGCCAUGAACCGAUGCCGCCGCUGCCGCCGGUGACACACACCACCUUCUCCAUUUUGCAGCUGUAUUCUAAGAUGCACUACUUGAAGAACUCCACUGUACUAAGAUAAUGAUGACACGUGUAAGAGAGGAAGAAACAAAGAAAACGAAAGACAGCCACAGAAAGAACAGAGAAAAAAUGAAAACGACGUUCAGAUAAAAGGCAAAAAAUGACCGAAGCAAACAGUUCCAAACAGCAAAAUAUUAGGUUUUAUUUUUUAGUGACUAAAUUAAUAUUGAAUUAUAAAUUUUUAAAGAAUACUUGUAUAAUGUAAUUGUCAUAUUUCUCUAUUAUGUAGAAUUGUAGUGAAAUGGAGGUUAAAUAAUGGUGCCCAACUUGCUAGCUGAAGGUUUUAAAAGGCAAGGAAAAAAUGAUAGCAAAUUAACCGUCAUGUACAAAAAAAGUGGUGGUCCCACAAUCACAAAAAUAGCAUAUAAAUUAAAUAAAAGAACUGACACGUAGAGUUUAGUGUAAUUUGAUGAUUUAUUUAUAAAUUAUUAUUUAUGGUUAUUUUACUGAUUUUUGUAAUAAGUAUUUGAUAUAGUUUAGGAGAGGAUAUGGUAUGCUUUAAUAAGAGGAUUUGAGCACACUUAAGCUUAAAUGAGUGUAUAUAAGCAACAAAAGAAAGAAAAAUAAAUCUAUACAAUUGUUGGAUCAUUCCAAGACUCAAUCAUAGAGGAACACAAACUCAUAGUAGAUAAUUUUUUCUUUUCAUUAAUUUAAUUUCCAACUCAUUGAGAUAAUUAUAAAAGCGUUUCUAUCCAUAACAUUAUGACAAAAUGUAGAGUACACCUUAUUUUCUUAAUAUAUAUAAUUUGACUUUUAUUAACCAAGUGGGCUUCUUCAAUGCCUAAAUCAUUUUAAUAUUUGGCUCCAUUAUUGUGUACCUGUUUCUCAUUUUCUGGUUCUUAUCUCAGACCAACUAAAGCCCACCACGUAUCGUUUCCCAAUUUUUACUUUAUGCAUAUGGACCCGCUUUUUGUUUGUUGCUAUUUUACUUUAUUCCUUUUCAUUUUAUUUUUAAUUCAAAAUAUUAUUAUAUUAUUAUAAGUGUUUGUUAAGUGUAUCUUAUUUACUGUUUUUUAUUGUUUAUGGUUUUAAAGAAACUUUUCUCUUUUGUCAUACAUUCACAUGGGGAGUGCUCAUUUGUUUGCAUGAAAAUUGAAAUACUAAGAGUUGCAGAUGUACAAGAAAGAAAGAGUAGCUCUAAACAAAGAAUAACUUUAUUUUUUAAAAUAAUUUCAGUAACAUUCUUAUAACUUUCUUUUAUUUACAGUACUUUCAUUCUUAUGUCGUAAAAUUAGAAAAAGUAGUUUUUUAUCAAUCAAUAUCGAACGGGUGAGUCAUUUAGUUUCGGAAAUCGAUCAACUGCGUUAAAAUACAUUUAAUACACUCAAUAAAUGACUAUUGUUACAAUUAUGAAAACUUCCGACAAAUCAAAGUCAUAUUCCAUCGAAUUUGGGUGACACCCCCAAGAAAAUAGCUAAUAUUGAUUUAUUGAAGAUAUUCUCCAAAUAUACAUCUCUAUAAUUCAAGGAAUCCCCUAAAAAGCCACUUAACACUGAUAUUUGAUAAAUGCGGUUCAUCACACAAAAUGACUCAUGACUAAACAUUAUAAAUAAAUAUUUUACAAAAGAGGAAUGUAUGUUUUUUAUCAGUUUCACUAUACACUCUUAACACAAGGUACUCACUUGAUCGUCGAAAAAUCUUUUGCAAGUUAACUCCUAAUCGACUAUUGAGAAAUUGAGGAUAGGGAGUCUUGAAGUUUGAAGGAGUGAAGUACUAAGGAGCAAGGGAGGGACCGACAACCAAAACAAUUGUUACAGUCAAUCCCAUGUACUAUUUAUGCUCACUUUGUCAAUACAAGUACAAGUUCCAUCAUUUCAACGUGUGUAAGAGGCUUGACGAGAAGAUUUGUUGUAUUCGACAUUCCCCAAUGCGAAGAUAAUUUUUUUUUUUUAGUUUUAUACUUCAUUUUUGCACAUCAUUUUUUUAUGAAUUUUGUGGCUUCCAAAAAAAGAAAAAAAAUAAAUGAAUAAAAACACAGUCACCAUGAGCAAUCACCAUCACUUGAAAAUGAAGAAGACACAACACUCUCCAUCAAAUAUUGUUGGAAUUAAAAAAGAGUAUGGAAGUGGAGAAUGAAGGUACGGAGAUGCAAGGAGAAUUUGCCAUCAAUUUUGUGCAUAUGGGAUUACUUUUUGCAUCACAUUUUGGUAUCACCCUUCCUUCAUAGGUGUUUCUUUCUGCACCUCUACAUUUUUCUUCUUGCACCUCUACAUUUUUCUUCUUGCACCCCUACAUUCAUGUGUAAUUACAAAGUAUCUCUAAGACAUCUAAAAAAACCCAAAAGGAGCAUAUCUCACUCUUUCUUUCUUCCUUUUCUACAAUUGUUGUGCACCUUGUUCAAGGAGCGAACAAAGGACAAUAAGUGGUAAUGCAUUGGGAUGUUGUUGGUGGUUCAUUUUCUGAAAUCUUGAUGGUGGUUAGAUGAUUUCUAAGAUGACUCUGUAUUAAGAAAAGAAGAUAAGUAAUAUUAUUUUUUGUUUACACUGUAUUGAGAAAAGAAGAUAAGUAAUAUUAUUUUUUGGUUACAUAUUGGAUGUUUAAUUUUUUAACUAAUUUUGAAUUCCGUAAUGCAACUUUUAGGAUUUCAGAGACAAGUGAGUCCGUAAUAGAGCACAUUGAUCCAAGAAUUAACUAGAUUGGUGUAUUUGUGUGGUUAUUUACACUUUAUAAACAUGGUUGUAAUUCCUAGCUGUAAUGGCAAAUAGAAAACUCUUGUAGCAGCCAAAUGGAUCCAGACUUUUUUUGUAAAAAACGUGGUGCCCCACUUGCAGCAAACAGAAAAUAACGAGUAAAUAAAAAAAUAGGGUUUGCAGGAAAUAUAGAAAACAAUGAGGAAAGAAAAGAAUGGCAUGUGAAGGCACUGUAAGGAAGGGUGAUGCCACAUCGUGAUCAGAAUGAGUGGUUGUGAUGGAUGAAUGAAUAAUUAAGAUUCCUUCACAUUCUAAACAGUAUCUCACUUUCAUUCUCUAACCAUUUAUAGUAAUAUCCCCACGUAUUCUUUCUUCUUUUAUAACAAAAACAAAAACAACCACCCCUUUUCUCUUUUCUUUUUUAAUUUACUACUUUUAAUAUUAUUAUUUUAAUAUUUUUUUAUAUCAUUUAAUUAUAAAUCAUUCUUUUAUUCUGCUCUCCAUGUGAAUGUUUGAAGAGUAAAUCAUCUAGGUGUCAAAAAGAACAUUGACAUAUUGGUUUAUAAUUAAAAAUUCUUGAUUCUACAUAUUUUUAACUUUGAGUAGGAAGUUGAUGUUAUAUUAUUAUGUUUAUAUUUAUUAGUUCAAAUUUAAUUGAAUUGAAUAACUGAUUUUUUUCUUUAAUUUAUAAUAGAAUUAAACAAUUAUUAAAAUAAUUCAUAUUUAUUAAAACUAACCACACCAACAAAAGUUUAACGAUACAUAUGAUAGUGCCUCAUUUUAGAACUAAGAGGAAUUUGCAGCAAACAUGUGGCUUUUAGGACUCGUAUUGCAGCAGCAAUUAUGCAAGGAAUCCUUUUUUCUUCAAAUCUUCUACAGCAUCCUUAAUAAUCUCUUCAAUUGGAGUGAAUUGCAAACCCAAAUCCAUAAGUUUCGUUGAUGCAUCCUUCACUCUCAGUAAUCCUGGUUGGGUAUCUCGUUGCAUCCUUUCAAGCAAAAUCACAAACUACAUCAUUUACAAGUACGUUAUGCAUUAACAAUACAUGUAUGAAGUGUGUGGGUAACUUACUUAGGCACAUUGUACUCUGGAUAAAGUUCACCAACUUGGGCUGCAAAAUCACCAAAGUGAGAGAUAGCUUCAGCACACAGAUGCCUACCAACUGCAGAUUUGUUCUCAUACACCAAGAUAUGUGCCAAUGCUACAUCCUUAAAGUGGACCGAUCCCAUAAAAAUGUUCUCAUAUGUUUCAUCAGAACCUGCCACGCCACAUACAAAAGGUCACAAAUUCUCAGUAAUUCCCCUAAAACAUCAUAAAUUGGGUAGUUUCAUGUUAAUAUUCCGGUCAACGAUUAUAGAUUAUAUGGUAAAAAAUUUAAUAAAAAAAAAGUGUAGUGAUUUUCACGAAUUAUAAAUGUCCUACGCAUCUAUACCAUCGACCAAGUUGUAGCAGGUCUUGUGAAAUUAGUCUAAUAGUUAGGUAACAACAACAGUAGCCCUAUUCACAUUAUACCAUUUUAAUCAGUUAAAAAUGUAUGCAUCAUUCAUCACAAGAUCCCUAACAUGGUGUUAAAUAGUGGUAUGCGACUAUGACUUUAGUGGUUCCGUCCACAGAUUUGGACGGAUGAAUACAAACAGAAAGCAUGAAAAUCAAAAGUAAAAAAUUGUUAGAUUCUUUCCUCGCAUAGCUGUGAGGAGUAGCAAAGAAAGUUGAAUAAACAUUAUAAUCAUAUAUUUACAAUAAAAUAUAUAUUCUAUAACGGAUCAUUACAUAGUCUGAUGACAUAUAUUUAUCAAAUAAUCCAUUUUUUUAAUAAUAUAAUUGAUUAUGGAAUAUACAUGUUAUUAUAUUUUUAUAUAAUUAUUAUAUUAUAUAUAUACACUAAAAAAAAUAUAAAUAUAGUAAAAAAAAUAAUUAGUUGUUAUAAUAACUAAAUUAGAAAUUAUUUUAAAAACUAAAAAAAAUAAUUUUUAAAUUAGUUUAUAUUAUUAUUAAAUAGUUUUGUAAUUUGUAUUUAAUUAGCUACCAAGGUUUUAACUCCCAAUUAUUUAAUUUCUAAAUUUGGUCGUAAAAAUUUUGGUUGCUAAUUAAAUACUAAUUUAAAAAUUAUUUAAUGAUAAUACAAACUAAUUUAGAAACUAAAGUUUUUUUUUCUCUAAAAUGAUUUAUAAUUUAGUUACUAUAUCAACUAAAUAUUUUUUAUUCUCUAAACAUAGUUUUCUAUUUGAUGUUUUUUUUUAGUGAUAUUAUUAAUUGAUUAAUAUUUGUAUUUUUAUUCUAAACAUAAUUAAUUAUACAAUAUAAUACAAUGUAAUAAUAAUAAGUAGUCAAACAAUAAAGAAAUAUAAAAUAAUAAUAAUAAAAUAGUCUCUACCUUGAAGAAGGUGCAAAAGCAUGAGCAUGCUUGCAUUAAGCCUCGGUGCAAUAACCGGACCCAACACCAUCCCAGGAUUCACUACAACAACAUCCCACUCACUCUCCUUUGCCAAAUCCCACGCUGCUUUCUCGGCCAAUGUCUUCGACAAUGGAUACCACAACUGUUGCACACACAAACACUUCACACCCCAACACAUAACAAAAACAAACACAAAAUUCAAAAAAUGAAAACCCUUUCUAACCGCUUUUUCCUUGCAAAAUUCAACGUCAGUCCAGCACUCCUCCUUCUUUGGAACAUCACCGGGCCAAUUGGGGCUCGGAACAAUCGCGGUGAUGGAGGACGUCACCACCACGCGACGCACUCCAGCUUCUUUCGCUGCCGUUAGCACGUUCACGGUGCCCUUUACCGCCGGGUCCAGAAGAUCCUUCUGCAUGAAGACCCAAAUGGGAUGAUGCAAAAACCCUAAAGAUUGAAAAUUUGCAAGAAGAUCGAGAGAACAAAACCUGGGGGUCCUGGACUUCAUCAACAAUGCAGGGAGAGGCGAUGUGGAAUACGCCGGCGCAGCCGCGCAUGGCUUCGAGUACGGAGUCGUAGUGGAGGAGCUCCAUCUGGAAGAGGCGGAGGCGCUCCGACGCUCCAUCCAAGGCUUUUAGAUGCUUUGUCUCGGCCUCAUCGUCUGUUAGAAAAGUUGUGUUGUGCUGUGUAAGUAUAUAUUGGGAUGAAACGAAUGAAUAAUGAGAGUGUGGAAUGUACUAACUGAGAUUUCGGACGGUGGCGUGAACGGUGUAGCCGCGGUCCAGAAGGAGGUGGACGAGCCAGGAAGCGAUGGCGCCGCUGCCGCCGGUGACACACACCACCUUCUCCAUUUUGCAACUUAAUUCUAACACGAAAACGAUCACUAGAGACUUGAGAAGUCCACUUUGAAAUCAAGAGAAGAAGAAAGAAACAAGUGUAAUGAUGUGACGAACAUACACAUUUUUAUAGAAUAAUAUCACUUCAAUACUAUUAUUUUAAACAUCUAUACAUCCGUAUUUUAUUAUUUUAUUCAAUUUUUAUGUUAAAUUUCAUAAAAAAUUAACAUUAAAUAUAUAAAAAAUAUUACUUAAAAAAUAUUUAUUUUCUUUUUCAAUUUGAGUUUUUUUUUUUUUGAAGUUUUUACUCUUCUUCCAUUGAUAGUUUUGGAAUGAGAGAGUAUAAUGAUGAUAAUGAUUUUAUAAAAAAAUAUAAUUGUUUCUAAUGAGGAAUUGAAAAUAAAUGUUAUUUUAUUUGUUAAAUUUUAUGUAAAAACUUGAUCGUAUGUUUUAUUUUUUUCUUUUGUCUUAAAAUUAAGAAAAGAGUAGGAGAUGUGCAUAUGCAAUAAUAUUAAAAUAAAAAAUAGUUUUAAUUUUUAAUUAAUUUAUAUAAAAUAAUAAAAUAUUUAAUUAUAUUAAUAAAAUGAGAUAUAUUAAAUAAAGAUAAAAUAAAUUAUACACUAAAAAUCGAUUAUAAUAAAAAAAUUAUAUAUAGAUAUAAAUAUUUUUUUAUAUUAUUUAAUUUCAAAGUUAGUCUUUAUUAUAUAUAUUUAAUUGUCAAACUGUAUUAAAAAAAAAAGACAGGGACAGUAGAAUUAAUUUGACAGAAAACGAAAGACAUGGAAAAUUUGACAACAAAAAUAUCGAAAUCAGCAAUGCAGAAUUAAUUAUAGGAAAGUUGGUGAGUACGAAAACCAAUCCAAUUUUUUAAAGGAUCCGGAUUUUUGACAACGUACGCAUCGUAUAACUCUGAAAAAAUCUUAAUAUUUUAAUAGUGUGUGAUCUUCUGUCAUAUUGGAAUCUUUUUCUUAUCUUUUUUGUAGUUUUCAUAUUUUGAGGUUUCUUUCUUUUUUUUAAGCUUCACUAUGUAUUUGCAAAUUUUUCUUUGUGCACUGAAACAUUUAUUUUUUCUUCUGUAUUGUUUUUAUUUGAUCUCGGUUUUAUUUAUUGUUAUCGUUAUUCAUAAUAAUAUUAUUUUUAUUAAUACUAUUAUUAAAAUUAAUAAUAAUACUAAUACUAAUAUUAAUAAUAAUUUAAAUAAUAAAAAUAAUUUUAAUAUUACUACUAAUUAUAAUAAUAUUAUUAUUAUUAGUAAUAAUAUUAGUAUUAGUAGUAAUUAUAAUAAUAAUAAUUAUUAUUAUUAUAAUAAUAUUUUUUAACUAGUGUUAUUUAUUUAUCUUUAUAUUCUUACAAUUCCGAUUUAAUUUAGUCAAAUAUAUUCUUAAAGAAAAAAAAUAUUUAUUGUCAAACAUAAUUUUGAAUUGGAUUUUUUGACAUCAUUGUUAUAAUUUUAUUCAAAAUGAUUUUUUUUAUGUUUAAAUUUCAUAUUGUGAUUAAAUUUAGUAUGAAAGAUUUUAUUUAUUGAAGUACUGAGCAAUUGGACUCGAGUAUGAUUGAGGUUAAUCCGUUGGUCAUUUAAAAAAAUGGUUUAGGAAGUGGUGACCUAGUCUAACGGUUAGAGAGGAUGAUGAAUAAGGUGAAUUGAGUUUGUUUAUAACACAUUAAAUUUAUUAUUCACAUGAAAUUUAUUUUUCACAUGAAAAAUGAAAUCUAUUACUUUAAACAUGAUUGUUAAUAUGGAUAACAAAGACCUACUAACUAAUAAAAUUGUCUUAAAUCAUAAAUUAAAAUUAUUCUACACAACUACAAGUUGGAUUGAUUCGUUAUAAUAAUUGUACACGGAUAACAGUAACAUUAGAGAAAUUCAGCUUGUACGAGACUGUUUUCUCAAUGCCUUGUUUGAGAUUUUAUAUUUUGUUUGACUGUGUGGCUUUGUCGGUAUGGUAGACGUUCCUUGGUAGAAAGAGGAUAAAGUACAAAUUUGUAUAAGGGUUAGACCACUAUGUAGUGGUUCAUAUUUAUUAUUUUUUAUUGAUAAUAAAAAAACAAUUUUAUUAUCAUUUUAUUUUAUUUAUUUUGAUGGAUGUAUUACAAUAGUAUAAUAAAUUAUUAUAGAAUCAUAAUUUUGUAUUAGUUUUUUUUUACGUUCAAGUUAUAUUUAGUAUGUAUUUUUUUAAAAUAAAAUCAUAUUUAUAGAUUUUUGAACUUAUUGAAAUAUCGAAUAAAAUUAUUUGAAAAAUCUAUUAUUGAAUAUUAUAGAUCAUUCCAAGACUCAAUCAUAGAGGAACACAAACUCAUAGUACCAAAGGAUAACUUUUUUUUCAUUAAUUUAAUUUCCAACUCAUUGAGAUAAUUAUAAAAGCAUUUCUAUCCAUAACAUUAUGACAAAAUGUAAAGUACACUUUAUUUUCUUAAUAUAUAUAAUUUGACUUUGAUUAACCAAGUGGGCUUGCUGAUAAAAAAAAAACCAAGUGGGCUUCUUCAAUACCUGCAUCAUUUUAAUAUUUGGUAACAUUGUUUAUGGUUUCCCAAUUUUUACUUUAUGCAUAUGGACCCACUUUUUGUUUGUUGCUAUUUUACUUUAUUCAUUUUCAUUUUAUUUUUAAUUCAAAAUAUUAUUAUAUUAUUAUAAGUGUAUCUUAUUUACUGUUGUUUAUUGUUUAUGGUUUUAAAGUAACUUUUCUCUUUUGUCAUACAUUCACAUGGGGAGCGCUUAUUUGUUUGCAUGAAAAUUGGAAAUAAGGAGUUGAAGACGUACAAGAAAGAAAGAGUAACUCUAAAUAAAAGAAUAACUUCACUUUUUAAAAUAAUUAGUACGUUGAACCGUGGAACGCACGGGAAUUUUUUCAAUAUUUUAUAUGUAAAUAUUAAUAUUAAAAUUAAUAAUUUAAUUUAUUUAUAUAUAAUUUCAGUUAUACUUCCGUAUUUUUAUAUCUUUCUUAUAUAUUUUUAGUUGUAAUAUUUGAAAAAGUAGUUUUUGGAUCGAUCAAUACCAAAUGAGUGAGUUAUUUCACUUUGAAAAUUUAUCAACCACAUUAAAAUACAUUUAAGACACUCAAUAAAUGAGUUGCAACAAUUAUGAAAACUACCUACAAAUCAAAGUCAUAUCCCAUCUCGGUGAUACUCCGGGAAAAUAAUUAAUAUUAAUUUAUUGAAUAUAUUAUCUAAAUAUACAUAUCUAUAAAUCAGGGAAUCUCCUUAAAAAAUCACUUAACACUGAUAUUUGAUAAAUUCGACCCAUAACAAGAAAUGACUCAUGAGUAAACCCUUUACAAAGAAGGAAGAUACGCUUUUGAUCAAUUUCACUAUACACUCUUAACACAAGGUACUUACUUGAUCGUUGAAAAACCUUUUGCAAGUUAACUCCUAAUCGACUAUUGAGAAAUUGAGGAGAAGGAGUCUUGAAGUUUAAAUGAGUGAAGUACUGAGGAGCAAGGGAGGGACCGACAACCAAAACAAUUGUUACAGUCAAUCUCAUGUUAUAUCUAGUCUCACUUUGUCUAUACAAGUACAAGUACCAUAAUUUCAUCGUGUGUAAGAGGCUUGACGAGAAGAUUUGUUGUAUUUGACAUUCUCUAGUGGAAAGACAAUUUUUUUAGUUUUGUACUUCAUUUUUACACAUUGUUUUUUUGUGGUUUCCAAAAAAAAAAAAAACAAAACAAAAACAGAGUCACCACCGAACAAUCAUCAUCACUUGAAAAUGAAGAAGAUACAACACUCUCCAUCAAGUAUUGUUGGAAUUAAAAAAGAGUAUGUAAGUGGAGGAUGAAGAUAUGGAGGUGCAAAGAGAAUUCGCCAUCAAUUUUGUGCAUAUGGGACUACUUUUUUCAUCACAUUUUGGUAUCACCCUUCCUUCAUGGGUGUUUCUUUCUGCACCUUUAUAUUUUUCUUCCUGCACCCCAACAUUCAUGUGCAAUUACAAAAGUAUCUCUAAGACAUCUAAAAAACCCAAAAGGAGCAUAUCUCACUCUUUCUUUCUUCCUUUUCUACAAUUGUUGUAAAAAACGUGGUGGCCCACUUGCAGCAAACAGCAAAUAAUGGGCAAAGAAAACACGAUGACCCCACUUGCAGCAAACAGAAAAUAAUGAGUAAAUAAAAAAAUAGGGUUUGCAGGAAAUAUAGAAAAGAAUGAGGAAAGAAAAGAAUGGCAUGUGAAGGCAUUGUAAGGAAGGGUGAUGCCACAACGUUAUGAGAAUGAGUGGUUGUGAUGGAUGAAUGAAUAAUUAAGAUUCUUUCACAUUCUAAACAGUAUCUCACUUUCAUUCUCUAACCAUUUAUAGUAACAUCCCCACUUAUUCUUUCUUCUUUUAUAACAAAAAACAUAAACAACCACCCCUUUUUUCUUUCCUUUCUUUUAUUUACUACUUUUUUUAUAUCAUUUAAUUAUAAAUCUUUCUUUUGUUCUGAUCCCCAUGUGAAUGUCUGAAGAGGAAAUCAUUUAGGUGUCAAUAAGAACAUUGACAUAUUGGUUUAUAAUUAAAAAUUCUUGAUUUUGCAGACUUUAACUUUGAGUAGAAAGUUGAUAUUAUAUUAUUAUGUUUAUCUAUUUAUUAACUCAAAUUUAUUGAAUUGAAGAACUGAUUUUCUGCUUUGAUUUGUAAUAGAAUUAAACAAUUUUUAAAAUAAUUCAUAUUUAUUUAUUCCUUCAUACUAAUAAUAAAACUAACCACACCAACAAAAGUUUAACAACACAUAUGAUCGUGCCUUAUUUUACAACAACAGGAAUUUGCACCAAACAUAUGUGCCAUAAGGACUCAUAUUGCAGCAGCAAUUAUGGAAGGAAUCCUUUUUUCUUCAAAUCCUCUACAGAAUCCUUAAUAAUCUCCUCAAUUGGAGUGAUUUGCAAACCCAAAUCCAUAAGUUUCUUUGAUCCAUCCUUCACUCUCAAUAAUCCUGGUUGGGUAUCUCGUUGCAUCCUUUCAAGCAAAAUCACAAAGCACAUCAUUUACAAGUAAGUUAUGCAUUAACAAUACAUGUAUCAAGUGUGUGGCUAACUUACUUAGGCACUUUGUACUCUGGAUAAAGUUCACCAACUUUGGCUGCAAAAUCACCAUAGUGAGAGAUAGCUUCAACACACACAUGCCUACCAGCUGCAGAUUUGUUCUCAUACACCAAAAUAUGUGCCAAUGCUACAUCCUUAAAGUGAACCGAUCCCAUAAAAAUGUCCUCAUAUGUAUCAUCACAACCUGAGACGCAACAUACAAAAUGUCACAAAUUCUCAGUAAUUCCCCUGAAAAAUCAUAAAUUGGGUAGAGUUUGAUAUUUGUAUUCGGGUCAACGACUAUAGUGUGCAAAAAUAUAAUGAGAAGAGCAUAGCAUAAUCAAAUAAGUCUAAUACUUUUCACGAAGGCAUCAAGUUCUAAAUGCCCUACGCAACUAUAUACCAUGAACUAAGUUGUAGCAGGUCUUGUGAAAUUAGUCUAAUAACUAGGUAACAGAAACAGUAGCCCUAUUCACAUGAUACCAUUUUAUUCAGUUAAAAUAUUAUACAUUAUUCAUAAUAACAAGGUCCCUAACAUGGUGUUAAAUAGUUUUUUUAUGAGAAAAAAAAAUAAUCAAAAUAUUUCAAUUCAACCGUUAUAAGUCAUAACUAACUAGAUCUCUUAUAUUCAAUAAACAAGUUUCUAAAACAAACCCAAAACAUGACAAUCUACCAACAUGGUUUUCAAUAAUGGUAUGCAACUAUGACUUUAGUAUACAAUUCUUCUCAAAGGAUAUUUUCCUUUAAAAGAAAAAUUCCUUUGUCUUUCUGAGUGUCUCUCAGACACACCUUUCCAUGCAAUCAACGUUUCUCUAGUGGCUCAGUAAUACUUCUGUAAUAAUGCAGAAUAUUUCAGCACUUCUCAAUAUUCAAGAGACUCCUACUGCAAGAUUAGAAAGCAAUAUUUGGAAAAGGCAAUUGAUUAAGCAUAAGUCUCUCUCUACCUUGAAGAAGGCGCAAGAGCAUGAGCAUGCUUGCAUUAAGCCUGGGUGCAAUAACCUCACCCAAAACAAUGCCAGGAUUCACUGUAACAACAUCCAACCCACUCUCCUUUGCAAAAUCCCAAACUGCUUUCUCCGCCAAUGUCUUCGACAAUGAAUACCACAACUGUUCCACACACAAACACUUCACACACCAACACAUAACAAAAACAAACACAAAAUUCAAAAAAUUAAAACCCUUUCUAACCGCUUUUUGCUUGCAAAGUUCAACGUCAGCCCAACACUCCUCCCUCUUUGGAACAUCACCGGGCCAAGUGGGGCUCGGAAUAAUCGCCGCCACGGAGGACGUCACCACCACGCGACGCACUCCUGCUUCUUUCGCUGCCGUUAGCACGUUCGCGGUGCCCUUUAUCGCCGGGUCCAGAAGAUCCUUCUGCAUGAACACCCAAAUGGGAUUAUGCAAAAACCCAAAAGAUUGAAAAUUUGCGAGAAGAUCGAGAGAGCAAGACCUGGGGGUCCUGGACUUGACCAACAAUGCAGGGAGAGGCAAUGUGGAAUACGCCGGCGCAGCCGCGGAUGGCUUCGAGUACGGAGUCGUAGUGGAGGAGCUCCAUCUGGAAGAGGCGGAGGCGCUCCGACGCUCCAUCCAAGGCUUGUAGAUGCUUUGUCUCGGCCUCGUCGUCUGUUAGAAAAGUUGUGUUGUGAUGUGUUAGUAUUGGGGUGAAACGAAUGAAUAAUAUUGAGAGUGUGGAAUGUACUAACUGAGAUUUUGGACGGUGGCGUGAACGGUGUAGCCGCGGUCCAGAAGGAGGUGGACGAGCCAGGAACCGAUUGCGCCGCUGCCGCCGGUGACACACACCACCUUCUCCAUUUUGCAACUUAAUUCUAACACGAAAACGAUCACGAGAGACUGGAGAAGUCCACUAUGAAUUCAAGAGAAGAAGAAAGAAAGAAAGAAGU